CGGCAGGGAGGCGCGGCGGCCCCGCGGGCCAGCGCGCGGCAGGGAGACGUGGCGGCCCGGUGGUCCAACUGCCAUGGGCCAGCGCGCAGGAGGGCGCAGCGCGGCGGGCGCACGCGCAGGGAUCAAGACUUUUGUAAUUCAGGGGGAGGAGGACACCUGCAGCUUCGUCUUCCUCUGUCAGUGCCUUCGCUACCGCCUCCGAUUCGCAGAGGUGAUUUGAUCGAUUCAGCUUGGAGUUGCAUUGAGCCAUUGGUUGGGGACGCUGAUUUCAUCUUCUUGAUUGCGAAUCGGGGAUGGAUGUGAAUGUGAUUUGCGGGUUUGUAGGCUAGCCGGGAAGGUCGUCGUCAUCACCGGCGGCGCCAGCGGCAUCGGCAGGGCGACGGCGGAGGAGUUUAUUGUCCCAAAUAAUGUGUUCUAAUCAUAUGACGGAGAGGGUGUACAUAUUGUCCCAAAUAAUGUGUUCUGUCAUCUUUUUUAAAUUAUGUCAAAAUUAUUGCUAAAAUUCUGUCAAAACUAUCCUAAAUAUUGUGUUCUGUCAACUUGUACAAAAUUUAUCAACAUUUAGGUCCCAUAUGAAAAAUACGCACGAAUUUAACUUGAAACAUGUCCAAUGUUCAUGCCAAAAUUAUAGUAGGGGUAUAUUUGUCCAUUCACCACAUAUUUAACACCAUUAUAAUGAGGUAACAGAGUAGGGGCAAGC
Molecule: long non-coding RNA, 700 nt
Filed under: Oryza sativa (Asian cultivated rice)
Lineage: Eukaryota; Viridiplantae; Streptophyta; Magnoliopsida; Poales; Poaceae
Description: long non-coding RNA (OSAT_LNC001924)
Source: RNAcentral